GCCGCCCGGGCUUCUCGGCGCGCGUUCGUCGCGCUGACAGUCCCGUCCGCUGCUUGUCCUCGAGUCCUGGGGUGUGAGGAAGCGAAAAGGGACUGGACGAGCGGUGGGCUACCUCUUCGGUGAGGCAGAAGUCCGGCCUGGGGUGCGAAGGGCGCUGACGUUUGGGGGCACCUUACAGUGUCGCUCUGGGCUUCCGAGUUUCUCCCUCCGCUGGCUGGCUUCCUCAGCUAAAGAGCAAGGGAUGUGCCCGGUAACCACAAAAUGGAUUUGGGAGCCCAGUAGACCCACUGUGAGAAGGAAUUGUGUGAAAACACCAUGGAUCACAUGACUUCGUUCCACCCGAAAGUGCCUACACUAAAUGCAGUUGAAGUACCAGAACUGCCUAGGAUACUGUAUCGAGGAAGAUAUCUAAAGACUUGGGAAGAUGGGGACCCUAGAGUGGAUUUAUCAUGUAAGACCUUCUCACCCACCUCAGGAUAAUCCAGAAGACGUUACCCUUCACCAUGACAGUGAGAAAUAAUUUGUGAAGUGAGCCCCAGCAUCUUAAAGAGAUCUGCAACUGCUGCUCUUGUCUGUUCAGACGUAUCCUUCAAUGAAAACUGUUAGCAUCAAACAGGGAUUCCUACAUGCAGUGGGGAUAAUGGGACCUCAGGGUGGUAGGUGGGGACCAGUGUGGUUACUGUAGUGGACGACUGAGCAAAGCAGUAAUUAGGAUUGUCUGACUCCAGAGACUUGUAGUGUUGGCUGAUCGAUCAUGGUAUCCCUAGAAAAGAAAUAAAUGGAUGAUUGCCAGUUCUUCUUUAUAGACAGAAAAUGUCUAGGUCUAUGAACCUAGAAAUCCAAACUUGCAUCGCUGAAACAUAAAAUCACAGCCCCUCAAUCAAUUCUCAGACUUGAGCCAAUUUACGUUUCCAGAACUCUUUGAUUGAAGGGGAGGCCAGGUCUUCUUGAGAAAGGACUCUACUUCAUUGUCCGAAGUGUACAGUAUUAAUUUUUUCCCAGCCUUCCCAAAAAGAUCCUAUAACCAUCCAGUAGAGUGACUGUGCAUUGGUGCAAAGGAAAUAACCAGACUUUGGGGGGAUUUGUAGACAAUGUCUAUGACCUAGAAGUAAUUUGUGGAAACCCAAAACAUCACUGUGUCUACCCAUCAGAGUAGGGACUUGUGAAGGUCAAGUGAUCAGUGGAAUUUUAGUUCAAGUUCAUCUUAAAUUAGCCCCACCAAGUCUCCGAACACAUCCUGUGCUUAUUUCCCCAGUUCCAGAAUGCAUUUAAAAAAAAAAAAAAAAAGACAUUCAGCAGCUGGCAGAAUCCCCACUUUGGUCCCCUGACCUGGAGAGUGAAGGCUGUUACUAUAAGAAUGGACAAAUGGAAGCCAUUAGAACUGUUUCUACCUGUAAACAAUAUCACAUUUAUGGAGGGCUUGAAAGUUGCAAGCUUUGUGAUACCCACCACAUCCCUCUGCAGCCCACCUAUUUGUCAAGUGCAGAAUACAGAUGGCAUCUUCGAGAAUGACAGUGGGUUCCUGUAAAUCUGAUUAUGUGAUAAUUCCAGUUGCACUGCUAUUCCAGAUGUGGUUUCAUUCCUAGUACCAGGUAUGCAGCUAUUGAUCUGAUCAUUGCUUUUUUCCGUUAUAUGUGUUGAAAAGAUGACUAGAAGGAAUCAGCUGGCAAGGCUAGCAACACACCUUCACUGUCCUACCACAGGCUAUAUCAUCUCUUCAGCCUUGUGACAUGAGUUAGUCUGAAGGGAUCUCCUUCCCUUCCCCUACCUCUUCCACAUCCACGAACAUCAUGCUGGUCCAUCACAUUAAUGUUGAUAUGCUGAUUGGUCCUGGUAGGCAGGAAGUAGCAAUUACUAUAUACAUGUUGGUAAGAAAUUUGUGUGUCAGAGGAUAGGAAAUAAGUCCCCCCCAAAUCCAGAGGCUUUCUAUCUCAGUGAAAUUUCUAGUGAUCCAGGGGAGUGAGGUAUAUUAAAAUAUCUAACAUGAAGGAUAAGUUGUUAUAUCUGGCCUCUCCUACUAUUUAAAAAAAAAAAAUGCAUAAGACCUAGAGAGAGAAGUCUCUGCAGCAGGUCCAGGUUGUUGUAUAAGUUGCUCUGCUUCUUGGAUAGUAAGAUUCAGUAGGUCCAAUGUUACUUGAAGUGGUAAGUAGAGAUGAUUUUGGAGUCUUUGACAAAUACCUAUGUAAAUGAAUCAAUGCAGACCCUUAGGAUUUUGGAGCAAAGCCCUGCCAUCCUCUUAUCAUCAAAAGAAGAUAAUGAAUCUCCUUUUGAGAAACAGCUUUUGGCUUGUUAAUGGGCCGUGUAACCUGAGCUCAGUAAUAAAUCAUGUUGCUGAUAUAUAACCUUGAUAUGAUUGGAUGAAAAUGGCACCACACCUCUGUGAUCUUCCAAAAAUUCACAGCCGCAGUCUAAUUAUGAGAAGAACACUAGACAAAUUACACAUUGCAUUAGAGGGGCAUCCUAAAAAUUACUUGACCAGUAGUCUUCAAAACAGUCAAGAGGAGCCUAAGGAGACACAGCAACUGAAUGUAAUGUGGUAUUCUGGAUGGGAUCCUGGAACAGAAAAAGACAUUAGGUUAAACAAAGGAUGUCUGAAUAAACUGUGGACUUUAGUGACUAAUAAUGGAUCAGUAUUGGUUCAUUAAGUGUAAUAAAUAAACCAUACUAAUGUAAGAUGUUAGUAAUAGGAUGAGAACAGGGUAUAUAGGCACUCAGUACUAUCUUAUCUGUCACUCUAUAAAUCUAAAACUAUUCCCCCAUCUGUUAUAUUAGAAAAAAAUGAAACUCAAAUCACCAUGUCAUGCAAUUAUAAAUCAAGACUUUCCAAAAUAAGGAAGAAUGUCUAAUCAUACUGUCCUUAUUUUGUACUUCAAAAGAAAGGUUUAAAUGUAAAUGUUAAUUAUUUCAUCUGUAAUCCUUUAAAAAUCUACUGUGUCUAUGUUUUAUAGUUUGCCUAACAUAGAGGUAUGUGUGUAUUUUUAAUGUGUAUAUGCAUAUUGGGAAUGUCCAAAUUUUUUAUCAGCAUAUAGAACUAAAUUAUCAGAGAACAAAUGUGUGAAAUAAAAACUAAAUCAGAGGUUCUUAGAGGAAGCUGUGAGAAGUAGGCCCAUGAACUAUGAUAUAAUUACACUUAACUUACUGUUACAUCAAGAUGAAUAAAUAAUAACAAAUUCUAUAAGCCUAAGUAAAAGCCUAUAAUAACAUUGCUAGAGACAAUUACAGAUAGUUUACCUCUUCCUCUUAGAGUCAAACAUUCCUAAAUUAUAUAACUAAUAAAAGUAAAAUUGUGGUAUAAUUUGUAAAUGCUUAGACUUGGUAAAAUAUUUUGAACCAUCUCAAACUAGUAUACUUACUUCUUCAGUGGUCUUGCCUACAAUAGUUAAUGCAUGAAAGAUUCUAUGAUCCUUUCCUUUGAACAUUUCAGCCCUUACUUAGAGUAAAUGCUCAUGAAGAAUACUACUGAGCUGUUAGUGUUGGUUGGUUGGAUUGAUUGUUUUUUUUUUUUAAUUCUCUGUAAGGAACUUAGUACAAUUUAUAUGCAUAUAUACCCUUUCAAUACCAUAAACUCCUAUUUUACAGCAAGGUCAAAACAUAUUUUUACCUUAUGGAAUUUCCCAAUGUCACAGCAAUAAGAAAUAGACUUCAAGGGUAUUCUGUACAUCGGUUCCUAAAGUCGUCACAGGAAAGGUACUUUUUAGCUUAUUCUUGUUUCAUAGGUUUAUGCACUGUACUCAAGCUUGGAAGGAAGUGUUGCUAGUUUCACUUAGAAAUUAACUACUGUAAGAAUACCUGAGUAUUUAUUUCAAGGACCCCUGUUUUUAGCAUGUUUCCUGAUUGUGGAAUGCUCAUUGUUUUUUUAUCAGGAUUUUGUUGUGGGGGCUACUGUGUCUUCGUAGUUCUGAGACUAGAAGAAAUAACUUUAUGGGGAAAUAGUCCAUUAAAAAAUACCUUGCAGUAGUAAUAGUUUACCUGGAAACCCCCAAAAUUGUCCCCAAGAGUUUUUCUUGGGAGAAGUAUGAAAUUCAGUCAUAAUGAAAUUUUGUCAUGAAAUUGAAACCAUUUCAUAUAUAAGGAGAUGACAGAGAAUGAUGUUAUACAAAGACUUGGAAUUCUGGAAAAGUAUUAAACCAGUCUUAUGCCUCCAGCUAAAGAGAAUUUCAUCCUAAAAAAAUAAUUCAGGCAUAUGAUAAUUUUUUUGAAGAGCCGUAAAAUAGAAUUCCAUGCCCUUAGUACCUGCUAUGGACUGAAUAUGCCCCCCCCAUGCAUAUGUUGAAGCCCUAGCCCUCAGUAUGACUUAUAUUUGGUGAUAUUAACUGAAUAUUUGUGUCCUCCUAAAAUUCAUGUGUUGAAACCCUAUUCUCCAAGGGGAUGGUAUUAGGAGGUGGGGCCAUUAGGAGGUAAUUAGGAUCAAAUGAUCAGGAGGGUGGAACCCUCAUGAAUGAGAUUAAUGCUUUUAUGAGAAUCACGAGAGUAUCCAGUCUUUCACUUAGGUCUUUAAUCCAUCUUGAAUUUAUUUUUAAUAUGGUGUUAGAGAGUGUUCUAAUUUCAUUCUUUGAUAUGGAGCUGUCUGGUUCUUAUAGCACUAUUUAUUGAAGAAAUUGUCUUUUCUCCAUUCUAUAUAUUCUCAUAUCCUUUGUUGUAGAUUAAUUGACCAUAAGUGCAUAGGUUUAUUUCUGGGUUUUUAUCCUAUUCUCUUGAUCUCUGUGUCUGGUUUUGUGCCAGUACCAUACUGUUUUGAUGACUAUUGCUUUGUAGUAUAAUCUGAAGCCAGGGAGCUUUAUUUGUCUUUCUCAAGAUUGUUUUAGUUAUUUGGGUUCUUUUGUAUUUCCAUACAAAUCUAGAAAAUUUUGUUCUAGUUCUGUGAAAAAUACCAUUGCUAAUUUGAUACGGUUAGCAUUGACUCUGUAGAUCACCUUAGGUAGUAUUGUCAUUUUAACAAUGCUGAUGUUUUAAAUCC
Molecule: long non-coding RNA, 4957 nt
Filed under: Sus scrofa (pig)
Lineage: Eukaryota; Metazoa; Chordata; Mammalia; Artiodactyla; Suidae
Description: lncRNA (ENSSSCG00030045524.1)
Source: RNAcentral